AGUUUUUCUCAUGUAUGAAAUAGCAGUAGGGUAUCUAUGAUUUUUAAAUUGACGCAUAUUUGUAGCCAAAUUAGCAUGUUUGUGACGACUAAUCCCAUAAUUAGAUCGAGACACGGAUUUAAAUGGUGGUAGGUUUUGAAACCGUACCGGACUUCUUUUGGUGAUCCAUCAUCAAACCUCUCCAUGGAUCACUUGGUGGAUAGGAUCUCAAAUCUCCAUGAAAAAUCAUGGAUUAGGAGUUUUUCACUUUGUAACCAUGGAUCUUUUCUCUUCUCUUACUUUACUAAAGGAGACUUGACGAUGAUGUCAUGUUUCUCAUGUGUCAACAUCUUAAGAUGUCUAAGUAGGAAACAUGUAGGAUCCAUGAAAGUGUGGCGCAGUUGGUGUAUGCACUAUUGUUGUGUAGACCUGCAAAUGAGCCAACGAAGACACCAGCUUUGUUCUUGGGUUUUUGUCUAUGUCGUCUUCGUGUUCAUGGGAGGGCAUGUUAUCUGUAUUCCUUCUUGCUGCUAGUAGGCAGGGUUUUGUGUCAUUAAAAAUUAGAUUUGGAGUUUCCUCGCUGCUAUUUUCCAAAAAAUACAUGCAUUAUUAUUAGCCAAUGGCAGUUCUGUUAUUGUAGUGUUGUCUGCUUUGUAACCAUUGUAUUAAGGUUGUUUAUGUAGUUUUUUUGGGCUGUUUUUUGGCAUUUUCUUAUUGUUCUUUGGGCAGUUUUUUGGUUUUUAGGGCUAUUUUAUUUUGCAGUUUUAAUGCUAUUUUUAGUGAUCUUUGUUGCUAGCAUUCUUAGCAGAUAAAAGGGUGUUCGUUUCGGUGUCUAAACGACUAAACUAGAACAUUUAAGGUUCUAAUUUUCUUGUUUGUUUUGCCGUUGCUCCGUCUUAUAGGAUCGUUUCUUGGGUUUCCGAUCCAGGCUGUUGUUUUGGGCUUGCUGGUUAGGUUGCUGUUAAAGUUGUUGUCCGGGUCACUUCUUUGCUCCAUGGCCAGAAGGAACUAUUGGUCUUCGAAAAUGAAAACGGUAACAAAUUAAAAAAGGUAUGUGGGUCUGAUCUUAAAAGUAUUGAACUACUAGUGAUGGUGUAUGCAACCAAAGACACCAGCUGAGUUCGUGGGUUUUUGUCUAUGUUGUCUUCGCGUUCAUAGAAGGGCAUGUUAUAUGUGUUCCUUUCUUGUUGCUGCAUAUUCAGUUAAUAGGCAGGGUUUUGUGUCAAUAAAAAUGGAAUUUGGAGUUUUUUUGCUGCUGUUUUCCAAAAACAACAUGCAUUAUUAUUAGCCAAUUGUGGUUCCAUUAUUGUAGUGUUGUCUACUUUGUAACCAUUUUAUUAGGGUUGUUUAUGUAAUUUUUAGUGCUCUUUUUUUAGCAUCUUUUUAUGGUUGUUUCGGCAGCUUUUUAGUGUUUAGGGCUUAGUUAUGGCAGUUUUUAAUGCUAUUUUUAGUAAUCUUUGUUGCUAGCAUUUUUGUUACGAACAAAAAUGAUCUUUGUUGCUAGAACAUCUAAGCUUCUUUGGGAAAGCCUGCUUUAUGGACUUAUGGUUAUAAGGUUCUAACUUGGUUGUUUUCAUUGCCAUUGCUUAGUCUUUUAGGAUCGUUUCACGGGUUUCUAUCCAGGCUGUUGUUUUGGCUUUUGGGCUUGCUGGUUAAGUUGUUGUUCAAGUUGUUGUCCAGGUCACAUCUUUGCUUCAUGGCCAGAAGGAAUGCUAUCAUGGUUUGCUGCACAUGGGAACGUCUUAUAUAUCCCUAUUAAGUGUUUGUCGUUCUCAAUCUUUAGAUGUAGCCAGUUCUAUAAACCUUUUCUCUCAAAUGGGUUUGAUCAUUAUAUUGCUAGAAACCAAAAGGAUCAAAUGGAUUGCGCCGUCAAAUGAAUUGAAACUCUCCUAAAAAGCCUUUGCCUUUAGCUUCUUAUCUGGUAGUUACUUGACAAGGAUCAUAGGCUACCCGGGCCUUUUCUAUAUUGCAUGUAUUUACUGAAGAGUGAUCCUUGUUUAAAGUGUGGCAAGGAAACAUCUUUGAACCGAGAACAACAUUCAGUCAGUAAUUUAACUCUUUCUAACUUAACUUAUAUUUUAGUAAUAUAGAAUUUGUCUUUUGUUUGAUGGUGCGUAUCUGUAUUCUCGAUCAUAUGUAAUUAUGUAUGGUAUAUUUUUCACUUCAACAAAAAAGUGGUACAAUAUUUUUGAUA
Erigeron canadensis is the source of this 2173-nucleotide long non-coding RNA. RefSeq lists it as uncharacterized. The record is from RefSeq and is a predicted model, not a curated record. The transcript has 2 exons. Lineage: Eukaryota; Viridiplantae; Streptophyta; Magnoliopsida; Asterales; Asteraceae.